UUAAAUUGAAGAGUUUGAUCAUGGCUCAGAUUGAACGCUGGCGGCAGGCCUAACACAUGCAAGUCGAACGGUAACAGGAAGCAGCUUGCUGCUUUGCUGACGAGUGGCGGACGGGUGAGUAAUGUCUGGGAAACUGCCUGAUGGAGGGGGAUAACUACUGGAAACGGUGGCUAAUACCGCAUAACGUCGCAAGACCAAAGAGGGGGACCUUCGGGCCUCUUGCCAUCAGAUGUGCCCAGAUGGGAUUAGCUUGUUGGUGAGGUAACGGCUCACCAAGGCGACGAUCCCUAGCUGGUCUGAGAGGAUGACCAGCCACACUGGAACUGAGACACGGUCCAGACUCCUACGGGAGGCAGCAGUGGGGAAUAUUGCACAAUGGGCGCAAGCCUGAUGCAGCCAUGCCGCGUGUAUGAAGAAGGCCUUCGGGUUGUAAAGUACUUUCAGCGGGGAGGAAGGUGUUGUGGUUAAUAACCACAGCAAUUGACGUUACCCGCAGAAGAAGCACCGGCUAACUCCGUGCCAGCAGCCGCGGUAAUACGGAGGGUGCAAGCGUUAAUCGGAAUUACUGGGCGUAAAGCGCACGCAGGCGGUCUGUCAAGUCGGAUGUGAAAUCCCCGGGCUCAACCUGGGAACUGCAUUCGAAACUGGCAGGCUUGAGUCUUGUAGAGGGGGGUAGAAUUCCAGGUGUAGCGGUGAAAUGCGUAGAGAUCUGGAGGAAUACCGGUGGCGAAGGCGGCCCCCUGGACAAAGACUGACGCUCAGGUGCGAAAGCGUGGGGAGCAAACAGGAUUAGAUACCCUGGUAGUCCACGCCGUAAACGAUGUCUACUUGGAGGUUGUGCCCUUGAGGCGUGGCUUCCGGAGCUAACGCGUUAAGUAGACCGCCUGGGGAGUACGGCCGCAAGGUUAAAACUCAAAUGAAUUGACGGGGGCCCGCACAAGCGGUGGAGCAUGUGGUUUAAUUCGAUGCAACGCGAAGAACCUUACCUGGUCUUGACAUCCACAGAACUUUCCAGAGAUGGAUUGGUGCCUUCGGGAACCGUGAGACAGGUGCUGCAUGGCUGUCGUCAGCUCGUGUUGUGAAAUGUUGGGUUAAGUCCCGCAACGAGCGCAACCCUUAUCCUUUGUUGCCAGCGGUUAGGCCGGGAACUCAAAGGAGACUGCCAGUGAUAAACUGGAGGAAGGUGGGGAUGACGUCAAGUCAUCAUGGCCCUUACGACCAGGGCUACACACGUGCUACAAUGGCGCAUACAAAGAGAAGCGACCUCGCGAGAGCAAGCGGACCUCAUAAAGUGCGUCGUAGUCCGGAUUGGAGUCUGCAACUCGACUCCAUGAAGUCGGAAUCGCUAGUAAUCGUGGAUCAGAAUGCCACGGUGAAUACGUUCCCGGGCCUUGUACACACCGCCCGUCACACCAUGGGAGUGGGUUGCAAAAGAAGUAGGUAGCUUAACCUUCGGGAGGGCGCUUACCACUUUGUGAUUCAUGACUGGGGUGAAGUCGUAACAAGGUAACCGUAGGGGAACCUGCGGUUGGAUCACCUCCUUACCUUAAAGAAGC
Molecule: ribosomal RNA, 1556 nt
Filed under: Salmonella enterica subsp. enterica serovar Heidelberg
Lineage: Bacteria; Pseudomonadati; Pseudomonadota; Gammaproteobacteria; Enterobacterales; Enterobacteriaceae
Description: bacterial SSU rRNA
Rfam family: Bacterial small subunit ribosomal RNA
Source: RNAcentral